UGUUUGUAGAAAUGCUCACAUCUGCAGAACCUCUCACAAAGCAGGUGGCUGUCUAUAGUACUAAAGGUGGGAUAUUGGCGGAUAUAACCGUUACAGAUGUUCUUCGUUCUUCGCUGAAAUAGAAAGGACACGUUAUGGCUUUGCUUUACAUGCAUUUUUUUUAUAUGUGGACUGUUCUGAGAUUUUUGGUCAAAACGGGGUGUAGGACAGCAUUGACUUAUUUAUAUUUUCAGAAAGCUCCAUGUAUGGUGAACACGGUAAAAAUUAACAUUUUCUGCAACUUCAUUGCGAGCAUGAUGUCUACCUAUUGUUUUCCUGUACUAUGAUACAAGUUUGGUGCACGGCCAUCUCAAGCGACAACGAGAUCGUGGUUUCCGGUUACGCUGAGGGCAUGAUCCGCCUCUGGCGCGUGAAGAACGGCACGGAGAUAAGCGUGUUCAACUGCGGCGUGGACAUCUUGUACGUCACCAUGUCACGUG
This is a long non-coding RNA of Dreissena polymorpha, 479 nucleotides long. RefSeq lists it as uncharacterized. The transcript has 3 exons. Lineage: Eukaryota; Metazoa; Mollusca; Bivalvia; Myida; Dreissenidae. The record is from RefSeq and is a predicted model, not a curated record.